Molecule: long non-coding RNA, 540 nt
Filed under: Nicotiana benthamiana
Lineage: Eukaryota; Viridiplantae; Streptophyta; Magnoliopsida; Solanales; Solanaceae
Description: long non-coding RNA (NBEN_LNC002376)
Source: RNAcentral
ACUCUCAACGUACUUUGUCCCCAAAUCACUCCAAAGAAUCCCGUAGUUAAAGCCUCUCUUCCAUAGGAACCCUCUUUUACCCUCUGCUCUCUACUCUACGCCAAUCAAUUGAAGUUCAUCUCCAAAUCAAAAGUGUUAGUAGUUGUGACAACUAACUAUGAGAUAUUAAAGGUGAUUGAGCAAUCAUGUCCCCCUUCUCAAUACAAUCACAGGUCUCCAGUUACCUUGCUAGUUCCUUCUCAAUUGGCAACUGCAAAAAAAAAGGGAUUGGUUCCCUGGUCUCCAACUUAAACCAAAAUCAAGUGUUUAUAGCCCCAUAAGGCACGUGAUCCCUCUUCCCUUUGCUCAACCUAUUCCUCCAUAUCAGUUUACUCAUCCAAAAGGCACUUUUAGCCUACUUUGUAACUUUCUCUCCUAAUAAAAGAUCCCGCCAACUUCAUCCAAGUUAUAAUUGUUAUAGAUCAUUCAAAUUAACAAUUCUCAAAAAAGUAAUUGUUACUAGCCGAUUCACCAUAAUUUCCGACAAUAAGAACUCCCUCC